GACGAACGCUGGCGGCGUGCUUAACACAUGCAAGUCGAACGGAAAGGCCCUGCUUUUGUGGGGUGCUCGAGUGGCGAACGGGUGAGUAACACGUGAGUAACCUGCCCUUGACUUUGGGAUAACUUCAGGAAACUGGGGCUAAUACCGGAUAGGAGCUCCUGCUGCAUGGUGGGGGUUGGAAAGUUUCGGCGGUUGGGGAUGGACUCGCGGCUUAUCAGCUUGUUGGUGGGGUAGUGGCUUACCAAGGCUUUGACGGGUAGCCGGCCUGAGAGGGUGACCGGCCACAUUGGGACUGAGAUACGGCCCAGACUCCUACGGGAGGCAGCAGUGGGGAAUAUUGCACAAUGGGCGGAAGCCUGAUGCAGCAACGCCGCGUGCGGGAUGACGGCCUUCGGGUUGUAAACCGCUUUCGCCUGUGACGAAGCGUGAGUGACGGUAAUGGGUAAAGAAGCACCGGCUAACUACGUGCCAGCAGCCGCGGUGAUACGUAGGGUGCGAGCGUUGUCCAGAUUUAUUGGGCGUAAAGGGCUCGUAGGUGGUUGAUCGCGUCGGAAGUGUAAUCUUGGGGCUUAACCCUGAGCGUGCUUUCGAUACGGGUUGACUUGAGGAAGGUAGGGGAGAAUGGAAUUCCUGGUGGAGCGGUGGAAUGCGCAGAUAUCAGGAGGAACACCAGUGGCGAAGGCGGUUCUCUGGGCCUUUCCUGACGCUGAGGAGCGAAAGCGUGGGGAGCGAACAGGCUUAGAUACCCUGGUAGUCCACGCUGUAAACGGUGGGUACUAGGUGUGGGGUCCAUUCCACGGGUUCCGUGCCGUAGCUAACGCUUUAAGUACCCCGCCUGGGGAGUACGGCCGCAAGGCUAAAACUCAAAGGAAUUGACGGGGCCCCGCACAAGCGGCGGAGCAUGCGGAUUAAUUCGAUGCAACGCGUAGAACCUUGCCUGGGUUUGACAUGGAUCGGGAGCGCUCAGAGAUGGGUGUGCCUCUUUUGGGGUCGGUUCACAGGUGGUGCAUGGCUGUCGUCAGCUCGUGUCGUGAGAUGUUGGGUUAAGUCCCGCAACGAGCGCAAUCCUUGUUCACUGUUGCCAGCACGUUAUGGUGGGGACUCAGUGGAGACCGCCGGGGUCAACUCGGAGGAAGGUGGGGAUGACGUCAAGUCAUCAUGCCCCUUAUGUCCAGGGCUUCACGCAUGCUACAAUGGCUGGUACAGAGAGUGGCGAGCCUGUGAGGGUGAGCGAAUCUCGGAAAGCCGGUCUCAGUUCGGAUUGGGGUCUGCAACUCGACCUCAUGAAGUCGGAGUCGCUAGUAAUCGCAGAUCAGCAACGCUGCGGUGAAUACGUUCCCGGG
This 1343-nucleotide ribosomal RNA is filed under the name uncultured bacterium. RNAcentral describes it as "16S ribosomal RNA". It matches the Rfam family "Bacterial small subunit ribosomal RNA", at positions 28 to 1378 of the family's 1533-position model. The record is from RNAcentral.